CUUUGUCGAUUUAUUUUUGUUGUCAUAGGACGCAAGAUGUAGUAGAGGUGUAGAUCAUUUCUUUUUCACUAUCAUAACAUAAGUACCGUUACAAGAUGGCGGAGAGGUCUCGAAGUUCGUACACUAGUUAGAAAUCGCACAAUCACUAUUAUAUCCACUUUACGAACUUUUUUCACUUCAAAACUGUAGGCGCUAUUAAAAAAUUAUAUUAGUCCAAAAUAGUCGAAGUAUCGAUUGUAUUAAAAAAAAAAUAUUGUUCGCGGCAGCUAGAAACUGGUUUCCUCACACGAAAAAGAAUUGAAAGGAAGUAAAACUAUAGUUUUAUGAAUUUCUUAAUUUUUCUUUCUUAAAAAUGUACUAAUAAAAAAGAGAAGAAACGUGACUAUACCAACGCAACUGAGAAUCGAGACACAAGAUGCAAAGACAAAAGAAAAAAAGAAAAACACAAGAGAAAUGCAUCUUGGGAGCAUCGAGAUACCAAAUCAAAAAUAGAGAUAAACCUCGAAAAAUUGAGGUGUCUAAUCACCUUACAUUUAUGAGAAAUAAAAUGCUAAUAACACUAUAUACAUACGUUCAGUAUAUACUACUGUAUAUACAAUAAAAUGUAUAAUAUAUACAAUAUUUAUAGUAAUCUACAUAUAAAUAUAGAUGGGAUAUUAACACUUAACGGACGGGACACGUAGAUUUAUGUGUUUUCAUGUUAAUUUAAUGGUUUAUAUAAUUUCUUCACGAAUUCCCGGGACUGGAAAAAAAUAGACAAAAAACCACCCGUCCAUUAAGGAUGAAUACUAAUAUGAAAUUGAAUAUAUUUUCAGUUUUCCUAUUGCUCCUUGUUCUUGAAGUAACUACAUUAAUAAAUUUUAUUUUGAUUUU
Nomia melanderi (Alkali bee) is the source of this 873-nucleotide non-coding RNA. The record is from RefSeq and is a predicted model, not a curated record. NCBI's taxonomy places the organism in Eukaryota, Metazoa, Arthropoda, Insecta, Hymenoptera, Halictidae.